RNAcentral lists this ribosomal RNA (254 nucleotides) under uncultured bacterium. Its description in RNAcentral is "partial 16S ribosomal RNA". It matches the Rfam family "Bacterial small subunit ribosomal RNA", at positions 524 to 776 of the family's 1533-position model. The record is from RNAcentral.
CACGUAGGGGGCAAGCGUUGUCCGGAUUUAUUGGGCGUAAAGAGCUCGUAGGUGGUUCGGUAAGUUGGGUGUGAAAACUCUGGGCUCAACUCAGAGACGCCACCCGAUACUGCUGUGACUUGAGUCUGGUAGGGGAGUGUGGAAUUCCCAGUGUAGCGGUGAAAUGCGCAGAUAUUGGGAGGAACACCAGUGGCGAAGGCGGCACUCUGGGCCAGUACUGACACUGAGGAGCGAAAGCGUGGGUAGCGAACAGG